GGGGGGGCUAUUCUUCCUAGGGCAGAGGCACAAGUAUCUUCGAGGUCUUACCCUUCCUGCCAGCCAAAGAGGUUCAUCCAGGCCUUACCCGAGAGAGAGACUGCGCUGACCGGUCAAGAGAAAAUCUACAAGAGACCUGAAUCAGCAGUGUUAUAAAGCACAUAGCCAACGCUAAUUAAUAAAGAAUUUAAGCAUAAUAGCCCAGACGUACCAUGGCCUAUAGCUGGUAGAAACGGAGCUAUCCUACGGCCUACAAGAUAAAAGCAUAUGGCACCAAAUUGGAAUCAGUAGUCUUUAAAAGAAUAAAUGGACUAGCAACUGUCUCUGGGGGAGCAGCCCCGGUUAGGUACUAUUAAGCAGCAUAGCAACUGUCUCUGGGGGAGCAGCCCCGGUUAGGUACUAUUAAGCAGCAUUUAGUGACAUGCAUCAAAACACAUUUUUUAAAACUUUGACAGAAUAAAGUCUUAGUUAUUUUAAUAAA
Brienomyrus brachyistius is the source of this 481-nucleotide long non-coding RNA. RefSeq lists it as uncharacterized. The record is from RefSeq and is a predicted model, not a curated record. NCBI's taxonomy places the organism in Eukaryota, Metazoa, Chordata, Actinopteri, Osteoglossiformes, Mormyridae. The transcript has 2 exons.